CUACGGGGUGCAGCAGUGGGGAAUAUUGGACAAUGGGGGCAACCCUGAUCCAGCCAUGCCGCGUGAGUGAUGAAGGCCCUAGGGUUGUAAAGCUCUUUUGUGCGGGAAGAUAAUGACGGUACCGCAAGAAUAAGCCCCGGCUAACUUCGUGCCAGCAGCCGCGGUAAUACGAAGGGGGCUAGCGUUGCUCGGAAUCACUGGGCGUAAAGGGUGCGUAGGCGGGUUUUUAAGUCAGGGGUGAAAUCCUGGAGCUCAACUCCAGAACUGCCUUUGAUACUGAAGAUCUUGAGUCCGGGAGAGGUGAGUGGAACUGCGAGUGUAGAGGUGAAAUUCGUAGAUAUUCGCAAGAACACCAGUGGCGAAGGCGGCUCACUGGCCCGGUACUGACGCUGAGGCACGAAAGCGUGGGGAGCAAACAGGAUUAGAUACCCCAGUAGUC
RNAcentral lists this ribosomal RNA (439 nucleotides) under uncultured bacterium. RNAcentral describes it as "partial 16S ribosomal RNA". It matches the Rfam family "Bacterial small subunit ribosomal RNA", at positions 339 to 795 of the family's 1533-position model. The record is from RNAcentral.